CAAAGAAAUAGAAGAAAAAACAAAUAGUUUUUAAUAUGUUCUUACCCUGACGCUGACGCCAGCCAAAUAAACAGACAACUAGAGAUUUUUCCCACUUCUGCUGAUUCGCCGGAUCACCCCCUCCUGGAAUCAACAAAAUUUUCAGUUCGAUACUGUUACAGAGCCACUCUAACCAUCCCCACCUCCGCUAUUAAAGGUGUAAGUACCAUGAACUGGAUUCAACGCAAGAUUUAUCUGUAUAAUGUUACUUUUGGACUCUACAUGUUGGAUUGGUGGGAGCGUUAUCUCUUCAAUACUCUGAUUAUUGUGUUGAUGUGGUUUAUUUUCUACAACACCUCAAAGUUCAUCAGUGAUUUCUGUAAAAGGCAUUUAUGAGUUUGGUGCAAUGGAGGCACCCCUAUGAUGCAAGGAGAUUGCGCAGUAUAGUUUUGAAUGGAUACGGGAUUCUGGCAUAAUUAUCCAUUUUGUUCUGUGUUAUUUGACCAUGUGUUGUAGAUUUUGGUCUUUUUGUUCACGGUAUUGAAAUUGAUCGAGCUAUUGUGUUUGUACGCUGUUCCACAAAAGCAACUUGUAGCUGUGCAACAGAACCAAUGAUUGAACCAACGGCCCCUACACCGCAAAGGCACCAAAGAUGGAGGUCAACGUUUUCUCGAACCUUACUUCCCAUCAAUUAGUACUCUACGUGGCUUUUUCAAAUAUUUUUUAAUCUAGAAAUGGUUUAUCCCCUUGGA
Long non-coding RNA from Coffea eugenioides, 731 nucleotides. RefSeq lists it as uncharacterized. The record is from RefSeq and is a predicted model, not a curated record. NCBI's taxonomy places the organism in Eukaryota, Viridiplantae, Streptophyta, Magnoliopsida, Gentianales, Rubiaceae. The transcript is spliced from 5 exons.